UAAGCUCACGCUCAAGCUGAAGAAAGUAAGCGUAAUUAUUACGUUGUGCACGGAUACACCAGAAGGACCAUUCAUCGUUGUCUACGUCACUUCCACCAUGUUUGGCCCAGCGUCCAUGGGAUGAAGGACAAGCGGUAUUCAUACUGACAUUUAACCGCUUACAGGAGCACCAAGGGAUGCAAAUCUUGGCAGACGAGAUGCUUCACAUUUCUACACCUUGAUAUAAAAACAGCCCAUAUUCAGAUAAUUUUGAUUACCGAGAAGCAGAAAGGAACAGUUCACGAUGAACAGCUCCAUCACGUGCUUUCUUGUCACACUUGCGAUAUAUGUAACCAUCUGCUUCAACUACGUCAGCGGGGAAGCUGGGGAACAGAAAGAAAACGGUGCCGAGGUACUUGCAAGAAUGGAAGCAAGAAGCCUUCAUACGCUACAAAAUGAUGUAAUACAUGUUGUUGUGGAGGACCGUGAACUACUGAAAGAAGCGCACGCGAAGCGUCCGGGUCCCAAAAUAAAAAGCCCUUAUUUCUACCAUGGCAAACG
Molecule: long non-coding RNA, 540 nt
Organism: Rhipicephalus microplus (southern cattle tick)
Lineage: Eukaryota; Metazoa; Arthropoda; Arachnida; Ixodida; Ixodidae
Source: RefSeq, a predicted model, not a curated record